GGAGAGACUGAAGGGGAGAGGUGGCCCCCACACUGCCUGCGCGGCUCUCUGUGGCUGAUCUCAGAGAGUGCUGGAGCUGAAGGAGGAAAGACGACGAGCCAGAAUACAUUUUUGUCCGUCGCCAACCAGUGGAGGAGACACCUGGUAAUAAGAUAGAAAUACAUAAUGCACUGUACUGUAUUCUAACUUACUGUAACAUGUAUAACACUGAGCUGAUCAUCUUCACACCCUCUGACAUAACCUUACAGUACAUACUGUACUUUCUCUCCUUUUUCACCCUCUUCACUCCACAAAUGCAUGCUGCGUUUCCUGACUACUGAUAUAAUAGUGUGCAGAGCGUAGCGAGGCACCGUGCCCGCCGCGUGGCGAGCGGAGCAAGCAUGCAAGGAGCUGCGUUCCGCUCGCCACCCCUGUCGGGAUUGUGUGGUCGGGAUUCCGGCGUCUGUAUUUUGACCGCCAGGAUCCCGUCCAGCGGGAUUACGUGCUGAUUUCCAGUCUGAGCCUGCCCUAGGCAUAGGCAUACUUGGCAAAUGCCUAGGGGCACAAGCAGCUUCUGCUGAUUAAUAUGAUAUGCAGCAUGCCUACAGUAUAUUCUGUGUGUGACUGCGUCUGUAUCUGCAUACAAAAUGCAUUACUAAUGUGCAGCAUUAUGUGUAUAAGGGGUACUACAGUACUGUGUUGUGUAACAUAUACUGUAGCAAGGGCACUACUGUGUGGUCUAAUGUGAACAAAGAGCAAUAUGAUGUGAUGCAAUGUGAAUAAGUGGGAAUACUUUGAGGAGUAAUGUGGUACUAUCAUAUGAUGUAACGAGAAUAAGAGACACUAUUGCAUGAUAUAAUGUGAAUAAAGUUGCCGUACUGUGUGGCGUCAUUUCAGAUUGGGGAAUUACUGUGUGGCCAUGCCCCUUCCCAGCAAGAACAUGCACCGUUUUGGGAUGCACACCGAAUGUGCACACUGUUGCUAUUUUAAACAUACAAUAGGUUGGAGGAGCACCAAAAUGAGGACUGCUAUGGUUGAGGGGUGAUGGUGCUGGGAAAGGGGUACAGGGUCAGAGGCGGAAAUAGCGUCUGUGCAAGGGGGCAGCAUCCAAAAACUUGACUAGGGAAUCAUAUUGGUUAUGGCUGGCUCUGAGUACAGUCCACUAUUAUUGAUAGUACUCCCUACAACAACACCUACAGUACUGUAACCCUCUUUUUUCUGAAGCUGUCAUGAAAUGUCAUGACUGCUAAUACAUAAAUGUCUACAGUAUUUGUACUGUGGUGUUUUAUUCCUUUGACAAUUUGUUUAUGACCUAUUGAAGCUAAACUCUUGUACAGUACUUUAUAUUUUGAAUACCAGCAAUACAGUAGAAUACUGUACCUACAGUAUACAGUAGUAAUUGUAUAGUAUUUGAAUGUGACUAAUGUUUUUUUUCUCCAAUAUAAUGCCAAUGAUUUAUGGGGGCCCUAGACAGGGGCAAGAUAGGUGGGCUGGCCCAGAAGCGGGCAGGCAGCAGCCCACUUAUACAAGAGGUAAACUAAAGCAAUGUUUAAAUUACCUCGACAGCAUAC
Pseudophryne corroboree (corroboree frog) is the source of this 1550-nucleotide long non-coding RNA. RefSeq lists it as uncharacterized. The record is from RefSeq and is a predicted model, not a curated record. Lineage: Eukaryota; Metazoa; Chordata; Amphibia; Anura; Myobatrachidae. The transcript has 3 exons.